UUGCACGCUGGCGGAAUGCUUUACACAUGCCAGUCGAGCGGCAGCACGGGGGCAACCCUGGUGGCGAGCGGCGAACGGGUGAGUAACACAUCGGAACAUGCCCAGUCGUGGGGGAUAACACUUCGAAAGAAGUGCUAAUACCGCAUACGUCCUGAGGGAGAAAGCGGGGGAUCGCAAGACCUCGCGCGAUUGGAGUGGCCGAUGUCAGAUUAGCUAGUUGGUGGGGUAAAGGCCUACCAAGGCAACGAUCUGUAGCUGGUCUGAGAGGAUGAUCAGCCACACUGGGACUGAGACACGGCCCAGACUCCUACGGGAGGCAGCAGUGGGGAAUUUUGGACAAUGGGGGCAACCCUGAUCCAGCCAUUCCGCGUGAGUGAAGAAGGCCUUCGGGUUGUAAAGCUCUUUCGGCAGGAACGAAACGGUGAGCUCUAACAUAGCUUGCUAAUGACGGUACCUGAAGAAGAAGCACCGGCUAACUACGUG
RNAcentral lists this ribosomal RNA (483 nucleotides) under uncultured bacterium. RNAcentral's name for it is "partial 16S ribosomal RNA". It matches the Rfam family "Bacterial small subunit ribosomal RNA", at positions 30 to 507 of the family's 1533-position model. The record is from RNAcentral.